RNAcentral lists this long non-coding RNA (2650 nucleotides) under Carica papaya (papaya). RNAcentral's name for it is "long non-coding RNA (CPAP_LNC015134)". The record is from RNAcentral. Lineage: Eukaryota; Viridiplantae; Streptophyta; Magnoliopsida; Brassicales; Caricaceae.
UUUGGAUCUGCUUGAGAUGGAGCAAUGUAGGACAAGGGAAUGGCUGAGAAAGGUGAACAGAGAGAGAGAGCAGGCCUGAUAGUGUGGCAUGGUAAAAAACCACCAAUAAACACCUAUGGAAAUUCAAAUCCCUAAGGAGGGAUUUAGCCUAAUAAGGAAAAAAAUAAAUUGCAAAUAGAAUGGUAAAUUUUACCAAGAACAAGAAGCAACAAUGGGAGUGGCCAAACCCUAGUAGCAACUUCAAAAAAAAAAAAACACGCACUUGUUUAAGAAAGGAAGAAGAAAAUAGAAACAUCCUAAUGAGAUCCUUGUAUAACUAUCUAGGACCCAUAGUCAUAGGUCUCCUAGUUUAUGGAUUGCAAAUCUUAAUAGACCUAAACUAAGCUGUUCUCAAGAUAAUUGACCCUAAGGAGUUUGAAAAUAAUAAAAAUCAACUAGAUGGGGUAUUUUGCUUGCAUACCAAAUCGUUGAGCAAGAAGGAAAAAUUUUGAUGACAUAAACACCAACUUCCCAAAAUCUACCAACACUUAAAUUCUAGAAGCUAACAGAAAACACCACUAAGGUCAUUAAAUUAUUUUGGGUAGAAAGUAAACACAAAAAGAAGGCUGAGGUUACUAAGAUAAGGAAUUGCCAUUGCAUGUGGUGGAGUCAAAUGACCCAUUUUGGAAAGGAAUAGAGUAACUCUAUUUAGAUCCCUAUUAGUGCCCAUAAUAAACAUUUACCAACCUUUUGUAGGAAACAAACAUUCCAUGUCAAAAUAAAGAAACCAUAGUAUCAGAUCAUGCUCUUAAGUACCAGGAUAAAGUGUGCCCUAGAUAUAACUCCUAGUCGGAUCCUGACCUGGUUACGGAGAGUCUUUUCAACAGGAAAAAAAAAUCCAAACAACUAAACAUCCAAAGGAACGAGUGUACCUGGUAAGAAAUGUUUCCUAAAAUAUCUUGUUCCUUCUAAACUUCACUUUCUAAAGAAAGAUAACCUCUUGAAGACAUGUUCCGUAAUAUAAUAAAAAAAAGCUUAAUGUGUUUCCCAGGAUAUGGUUCCAUUAAUUCUAAGUGGAAUAUCAAGUUAUACAAAAUACAAAUGUACCUAGAUAGAGCUCUAAAGUAAAUAUUAUCAUAAUAGCACAGCGGAAUUAAGGCAAGCCAUAAUUUAUAACAUAUAAUUGAUAUCUUAGAGCCAUGUCUAAGGCUACUAUCUUGUGCCUUUGAGAACCAAAGGUGUAACACCCAUACUUGAAAAGAAUGAAACAACUAAAAUAAAGUCAAUCAUGAUAAGAUUACUAAGUGAUUCCUCCAUCAAACACUCCUAAUAAUUUUCAGCUACAACACUUAUGGAUGUCAUACUUUCCUGCUUAAAGGAUGCUAAGAAAAGCUAAUCAAGUGCUAAGAGAUUUUGGAAAACCCUGCAAACUUGAUGGAAUUUAGAAGAACAUUAUGACUCAACCAAAAGUAGAUUGCUUAGACAUCAAGUCCCUUGGGUAAGUGAAAAGAAGUUUGGCUACCAAAACAAUACUUUCAAAUUUCCAAAGUGAUAUCCAGGAUUCAGAAAACCUUACUAUUAGUGGAUUGUUAUAUAUGAGAAUGAAACAUAUAUGGCUAUUUAGAGAUCAUGAAAAAUAACUGUAUGUUUUGGUAAUAAUUCAAGAUUAUAUGGACUAGAGAUCGUGGAAAAUAAUUUCUAAGAUAUUCACAUAUUAAUUUUUGAAAGUCAGAAUAUAGGCAAUUUUUAUGGGGCAUAUGCACGUUGGAAAAGACAUUAACAUAACAUAGCAUUGAGGUCACUUAUGUAACUAAGAACUUAAUCUUGUGGUGAGAAGCUAUUACUAAGAGACUUGUCAUGAUGAGAAUCAAACAAAGAUAUGAUGCUCGCAGACAGUGUUUGAUAGUGAUGAUAAUGGCAUAGAUUAUUGUUGGGAGAUAAUAGGCUCUAAUGAGUUUUGAGGAUCAAUAUAAUCCAAAAUAAUAGUCCUACGUGAAGAUGAAGUAUUAUUAGGAGAGAAAUAGUGAAGUACCAUCAAAUCCCCUUAGGUCUUAAAAUCACUAAGAUCGGAAGUUAAUUCUAGAUAAAUGUACCUUUACUUUUGGGAGGUAGGAAAGAGAUAUCACAAUCUAAAGUGAUUUCACUAGAAAAAGUGCCAUGACAACACUACUUCAUAAAAGAAAUCAUGUGGGAAUCGGAAGAGAAAAUGGGGAACAAAUAUCUUCAUUUUCUAUAAUUACUUGAUGGGUUCAAAUUUAGAGGACCAAAUUUUUAAAGGGAAGAAGAUUGUAACAUCCUGUAAAUUUAACAUUUAAAUUUUUGGGUGUUUUAUAAGAGUUUUUAGAUAAUUUAGGGGGCUGCUGCAAAUUUAAAAGGGCCUAGGGACUUAAAUGAAAGAAAAUUUCAAAUCAAGAAAUUAAUCCCUAAAUCCAAAACUAUCCCACUAAAUUAUAAAUAAACUUACAUAUGAUGAAUUGAAAAUAGAAGAGGGAGAAUGGAACGGCGAGAAGGAGGGAAAGGGAGAGAGGGUUAAUCAAGCAAGAUGAGAGAGACAAAAAGAGAGAGAGAGAGAAGGGGAAGAAAAUUGAGGAAAUAAGGAGUUCGAUUGAAAAGAGGGUGAUAAAUCGAUUCAUGAGGGAUUAAGAGAGAGGAAACUGCAUCAGUAUACAAC